CGAACGCUGGCGGCAUGCCUAACACAUGCAAGUCGAACGAGGUCCGGAGCUUGCUCCGGGUGCCUAGUGGCGAACGGGUGAGUAACGCGUGGGAACCUGCCCUGGAGUGGGGAACAACCUUUGGAAACGAAGGCUAAUACCGCAUACGCUCUACGGAGGAAAGGCUUCGGCCGCUCUUGGAUGGUCCCGCGUCUGAUUAGCUUGUUGGUGGGGUAACGGCCUACCAAGGCGACGAUCAGUAGCUGGUCUGAGAGGAUGAUCAGCCACACUGGGACUGAGACACGGCCCAGACUCCUACGGGAGGCAGCAGUGGGGAAUAUUGGACCAUGGGGGAAACCCUGAUCCAGCAAUGCCGCGUGAGUGAAGAAGGCCUUAGGGUUGUAAAACUCUUUCGCCGGUGAAGAUGAUGACUGUAGCCGGUAAAGAAGCCCCGGCUAACUCCGUGCCAGCAGCCGCGGUAAUACGGAGGGGGCUAGCGUUGUUCGGAUUUACUGGGCGUAAAGCGCACGUAGGCGGCAUAUUAAGUUAGAGGUGAAAGGCCUGGGCUCAACCUAGGAACUGCCUUUGAUACUGGUAUGCUUGAGUUCGGAAGAGGGUAGUGGAAUUCCAAGUGUAGAGGUGAAAUUCGUAGAUAUUUGGAAGAACACCGGUGGCGAAGGCGGCUACCUGGUCCGAUACUGACGCUGAGGUGCGAAAGCGUGGGGAGCGAACAGGAUUAGAUACCCUGGUAGUCCACGCCGUAAACGAUGAGUGCUAGUUGUCGGGAUGCAUGCAUUUCGGAUGACGUAGUUAACGCGUUAAGCACUCCGCCUGGGGAGUAC
RNAcentral lists this ribosomal RNA (821 nucleotides) under uncultured Alphaproteobacteria bacterium. RNAcentral's name for it is "bacterial SSU rRNA". It matches the Rfam family "Bacterial small subunit ribosomal RNA", at positions 30 to 883 of the family's 1533-position model. The record is from RNAcentral. Lineage: Bacteria; Pseudomonadati; Pseudomonadota; Alphaproteobacteria.